UACGUAGGGGGCUAGCGUUGUCCGGAAUCAUUGGGCGUAAAGAGCGUGUAGGCGGUCCGGUAAGUCCGCUGUGAAAGUCGGGGGCUCAACCCUCGAAUGCCGGUGGAUACUGUCGGGCUAGAGUGCGGAAGAGGCGAGUGGAAUUCCUGGUGUAGCGGUGAAAUGCGCAGAUAUCAGGAGGAACACCUAUUGCGAAGGCAGCUCGCUGGGACGGUACUGACGCUGAGGCGCGAAAGCGUGGGGAGCGAACAGG
RNAcentral lists this ribosomal RNA (253 nucleotides) under uncultured bacterium. Its description in RNAcentral is "partial 16S ribosomal RNA". It matches the Rfam family "Bacterial small subunit ribosomal RNA", at positions 524 to 776 of the family's 1533-position model. The record is from RNAcentral.